This 455-nucleotide ribosomal RNA is filed under the name uncultured bacterium. RNAcentral describes it as "bacterial SSU rRNA". It matches the Rfam family "Bacterial small subunit ribosomal RNA", at positions 335 to 784 of the family's 1533-position model. The record is from RNAcentral.
ACUCCUACGGGAGGCAGCAGUGGGGAAUAUUGCACAAUGGGGGAAACCCUGAUGCAGCCAUGCCGCGUGUGUGAAGAAGGCCUUCGGGUUGUAAAGCACUUCAGUAGGGAGGAAGGUAGUGUAGUUAACACCUGCAUUAUUUGACGUUACCUACAGAAGAAGCACCGGCUAACUCCGUGCCAGCAGCCGCGGUAAUACGGAGGGUGCGAGCGUUAAUCGGAAUUACUGGGCGUAAAGCGCAUGCAGGCGGCCUGUUAAGUCAGAUGUGAAAGCCCGGGGCUUAACCUCGGAAUUGCAUUUGAAACUGGCAGGCUAGAGUCUUGUAGAGGGGGGUAGAAUUUCAGGUGUAGCGGUGAAAUGCGUAGAGAUCUGAAGGAUACCAGUGGCGAAGGCGGCCCCCUGGACAAAGACUGACGCUCAGAUGCGAAAGCGUGGGGAGCAAACAGGUUUAGAUA